This 67-nucleotide transfer RNA is filed under the name Panulirus polyphagus. RNAcentral's name for it is "tRNA-Tyr". It matches the Rfam family "tRNA". Rfam says of the family: Transfer RNA (tRNA) molecules are approximately 80 nucleotides in length. Their secondary structure includes four short double-helical elements and three loops (D, anti-codon, and T loops). The record is from RNAcentral. Lineage: Eukaryota; Metazoa; Arthropoda; Malacostraca; Decapoda; Palinuridae.
GAUGUGAUGGCUGAGUUUUAAGCGAUAGAUUGUAAAUCUAUUAACAAGAUUAUUCUUUCUCAUUAGG